CGGAAGAGUGUUGUUUCUAUCAGGGAGGUGGCUGCAUCAGGAAGCGACGGAGUCUCAGACCUGGACCAGAACCAGAACUUGUAGCAAUACCAGUACCAGUACCAAGACCGGGACCGCACACCAAGACUACAACCGCUACAAUCACUAGACGUGAACCAGGAAAUCGCGUUUAGAUUCAUAAAUUUAUCAUCGGAAAAGUGACCGAAUUGCUGCUUCAGUCGUACGUUACCAACCUGCCCCAAACAGGGAAGUGACGCUGUCAGGUGAAGUCGGGCUCGAGCCACAGGUGUGUUUUCUUCAGAGGAUUGUCCAGUAGAAGAACAAAAUGAGCGGAGGAGUGAACAGCAUCGAGGCCGUGAAGAAGAAGAUCAAAGUGCUGCAGGAGCAGGCAGAGGAGGCGGAGGAGAGGGCUGAGAGGCUGCAGAAGGAGGUGGAGAAGGAGAAGAGGAGCAGAGAGGAGGCGGAGAGCGAGGUGUCGUCACUGGGUCGUCGUCUGCAGCUUUCUGAGGAAAAUGUGGACCGAGCUCAGGAGAGACUAUCUGCGGCGCUGCACAAACUGGACGAGGUGGAGAAGGCAGCGGAUGAGAGCGAGAGAGGCAUGAAAGUGAUAGAGAACAGAGCUCUGAAGGAUGAGGAGAAGAUGGAGCAUCUGGAGGUCCAGCUGAGAGAAGCCAAACAGAUUGCAGAGGAAGCUGACAGGAAGUACGAGGAGGUGGCUCGUAAACUGGUGAUGGUGGAGGGAGAACUGGAACGAGCUGAAGUGAGGUCGGAUCAGGCAGAGAGGUUUGUAACAUGCCGUCAUCAUGUCCAGUAUGUUAGAGCUACUCACUCCACCGGUCAAAGUGGAUUCAUUUUUCUCUUCUGUCUAAUGAGCAAGGAACCCCUCAGAAUGCACAUGGCCAUGAAACUGAACCAGCACAGAACAUUAAUCCAAGUCACUUAUUUUAUGGCUCAUUUUGACGGCAUACGUGAACGUUCAACAAUCUUAGUUGAUUGUUGUAAUUUAGACUGUACAGUCAAUUCUGAAACGGAGUCUAUUUGGUUUCAUAUGUAUCUGGACAGGUUGUCAUGUUGGUUCUGUUCAUCACCUUAGUUGUUGCAAAGUGAAACAAUCAUAUGUUCAUAGUAUCACCUUACAGAUUGGAGCCAUUAAAUCGAGUCUUCUCAGCUAUUCUAGAUGGGAUCCAGUCCCUUAAGGUCAACUGAUCAGAGGUCCAGUUACCUUCAAGUGCCCCAUCUGUAGAUGUAAUAGUUGGACAAAUCCAGAGCCAGUGUAACCAGUAUAACCAUAACAACUGCUCCUAGAUAAAAUGCGAGGAGCAGAGUUUGCACCAGCUCACCCUCAGGAGUAGGUUCCUGAUUCCAACAGGACUUGUUCAGUGUUACGUAGCAAAUCAUUCACUGAUUUGAGGGUUUCUGUGGACGUCAGUGCUUGCUCCUCAUCCCCUGUCCUGCUCCUUCACAUAUUCCACAGGUGUUAGCCGCUAGCUGAAGCACUCUAAUGUGUGAUGUGAUGGGUUUAAUGACGAGUCUAAGUGCUUCAGUUCGGGGUCAGAAAUGAACCCUUUGUCCUUUCUGAGGUGGAGACCUUUAGAAACAGUAGGACUUUCUAAGAAUUCUAAGCUCAGCUGCUGUCGGCAGCAGCUUCUCUGCUUUUGAACAGACUGGUGACCUGUAGCUACUGCGUCCAGUUCGUAACAAACCGUAAACUUCUCCAUGUUUCACUCCAGCCGGCUUUAGUAGUGUACCUCUGUGUUCAUAAGCUUCAGGGUGAUGAAGCUUGUAGCCAGACCAGCUGCUGUAGGAUGAAACACCCAUAUGGGACCGACUGGAAGAGCUGAGAAAUAACGUCCAGCCUAACUUCACUUACUAGUUAUUGGGUCUGUUAAUCUCCUGAUCAGCUAAGGUGUCCACAGAACUGACAUAGUGGAAUCUGUGUGGACUUACCUGUAUUACUCAUGACGCCUGCUUACCGCAUGCCGCUGCUCCUGACUGGUAGAAAAGUAGCCAUACCCUUUUAACCUGAAAGCAGAGCUAUGUAAACAUGAGAGUCUGGUAAGGCAGAGGAACGUGAUGAUAGCGCUGAUAAUUCCUUACCAACUCUGACUGGCAUCUUCUUCUCCUGUUUCCAUGGAAACACUGUUGCUGCCGCACCUGCAUGUCCAUCUCCACCUGCCUUCUCCUGUCUGUCUCUCCCAAACCUGUCUGCCUACCGCAACUUGUCUCACAGUAAAGUUCGGAGGUUGGAGGAGCAGUUGAGGAGUUUCGACCAAUCGCUGAAGAGCCUGCAGGCGUCAGAGGACAAGUAUUCCCACAAGGAGGACAGGUAUGAAGAGGAGAUCAGGAAGCUCAGCAGUAAACUGAAAGAGGUGAGA
Betta splendens (Siamese fighting fish) is the source of this 2375-nucleotide RNA transcript. It is a transcript of the gene named tropomyosin alpha-3 chain-like, with no coding region annotated. The transcript has 6 exons. Lineage: Eukaryota; Metazoa; Chordata; Actinopteri; Anabantiformes; Osphronemidae. The record is from RefSeq and is a predicted model, not a curated record.